Molecule: unclassified non-coding RNA, 98 nt
Organism: Cavia aperea (Brazilian guinea pig)
Lineage: Eukaryota; Metazoa; Chordata; Mammalia; Rodentia; Caviidae
Rfam family: Y RNA
About the family: Y RNAs are components of the Ro ribonucleoprotein particle (Ro RNP), in association with Ro60 and La proteins. The Y RNAs and Ro60 and La proteins are well conserved, but the function of the Ro RNP is not known.
Source: Ensembl
GGCUGGCCCGAUGGCAGUGGGUUAUCAGAACUUAUUAACAUUAGUGUCACUAAAAUUGGUAUACCACCCCCCUCACUGCUAAAUUUGACUGGCUUUAA